Non-coding RNA from Choloepus didactylus (southern two-toed sloth), 79 nucleotides. The record is from the annotation of a RefSeq genome assembly. Lineage: Eukaryota; Metazoa; Chordata; Mammalia; Pilosa; Megalonychidae.
GCCCCGUACGGUUAGCUCAGUUGGUUAGAGCGUGGUGCUGAUAACGCCAAGGUCGCGGGUUCGAUCCCCGUACGGGCCA